This 490-nucleotide ribosomal RNA is filed under the name uncultured bacterium. RNAcentral's name for it is "partial 16S ribosomal RNA". It matches the Rfam family "Bacterial small subunit ribosomal RNA", at positions 28 to 507 of the family's 1533-position model. The record is from RNAcentral.
GAUGAACGCUAGCUACAGGCUUAACACAUGCAAGUCGCGGGGCAGCAUGGGGGUUGCUUGCAAUCCCCGAUGGCGACCGGCGCACGGGUGAGUAACGCGUAUCCAACCUGCCCUUCACCACGGGAUAACCCGGCGAAAGUCGGACUAAUACCGUAUGUUGUCCAUUGACGGCAUCCGAUUUGGACGAAAGGUUUGGCGGGGAAGGAGGGGGAUGCGUCCAAUUAGCUGGACGGCGGGGUGACGGCCCACCGUGGCGACGAUCGGUAGGGGUUCUGAGAGGAAGGUCCCCCACACUGGAACUGAGACACGGUCCAGACUCCUACGGGAGGCAGCAGUGAGGAAUAUUGGUCAAUGGGCGUAAGCCUGAACCAGCCAAGUAGCGUGCAGGAUGACGGCCCUAUGGGUUGUAAACUGCUUUUAUGCGGGGAUAAAGUGGCCCACGUGUGGGUUUUUGCAGGUACCGCAUGAAUAAGGACCGGCUAAUUCCGUG